This 358-nucleotide ribosomal RNA is filed under the name uncultured fungus. RNAcentral's name for it is "LSU rRNA". It matches the Rfam family "Eukaryotic large subunit ribosomal RNA", at positions 65 to 424 of the family's 3401-position model. Lineage: Eukaryota; Fungi. The record is from RNAcentral.
CCAACAGGGAUUACCUCAGUAACGGCGAGUGAAGCGGAACAGCUCAAAUUUGAAAUCUGGCCUCACGGUCCGAGUUGUAAUUUGUAGAGGAUGCUUUGAGCAUGGUCUGGCCUAAGUUCCUUGGAACAGGACGUCAUAGAGGGUGAGAAUCCCGUAUGCGGCCAGGUGCCUACGCUCAUGUGAAGCUCCUUCGACGAGUCGAGUUGUUUGGGAAUGCAGCUCAAAAUGGGUGGUAAAUUUCAUCUAAAGCUAAAUAUUGGCCAGAGACCGAUAGCGCACAAGUAGAGUGAUCGAAAGAUGAAAAGCACUUUGGAAAGAGAGUUAAACAGUACGUGAAAUUGUUGAAAGGGAAGCGCUU